GAUGAACGCUAGCGAUAGGCUUAACACAUGCAAGUCGAGGGGCAUCGAGGGUAGCAAUACCUGUCGGCGACCGGCGCACGGGUGAGUAACGCGUAUGUAACCUGCCCGCAACAGAGGGAUAACCCGGCGAAAGUCGGACUAAUACCUCAUAAAACAGGGGUUCCGCAUGGGACUAUUUGUUAAAGAUUUAUUGGUUGCGGAUGGGCAUGCGUACCAUUAGGUAGUUGGUGAGGUAACGGCUCACCAAGCCAUCGAUGGUUAGGGGUUCUGAGAGGAAGGUCCCCCACACUGGUACUGAGACACGGACCAGACUCCUACGGGAGGCAGCAGUGAGGAAUAUUGGUCAAUGGGCGAGAGCCCUGAACCAGCCAAGUCGCGUGAAAGGAUGACUGCCCCUAUGGGGUUGUAAAA
Molecule: ribosomal RNA, 411 nt
Filed under: Tannerella forsythia
Lineage: Bacteria; Pseudomonadati; Bacteroidota; Bacteroidia; Bacteroidales; Tannerellaceae
Description: bacterial SSU rRNA
Rfam family: Bacterial small subunit ribosomal RNA
Source: RNAcentral